GCCAGGCAAGGUGGCACAUGCCUGUAAUCCCAGCUUCUCAGGAGGCUGAGGCAGGAUAAUUUCAAGAUGAAAGCCAGCCUCAG
This 83-nucleotide small RNA is filed under the name Marmota monax (woodchuck). The record is from RNAcentral. Lineage: Eukaryota; Metazoa; Chordata; Mammalia; Rodentia; Sciuridae.